RNAcentral lists this ribosomal RNA (116 nucleotides) under Pteropus alecto (black flying fox). Lineage: Eukaryota; Metazoa; Chordata; Mammalia; Chiroptera; Pteropodidae. The record is from RNAcentral.
AUCUAUGGCCAUACCACCCUGAACAAGUCUGAUGUCUGACCUCGGAAGCUAAGUAGGGUCGGGUCUGGUUAGUACUUGGAUGGGAGAACACUUAGGAAGACUAGGUGCUGUAGGCA